AAAUGUGGCUUAAUUAAAGCCUUUUGCUUACACCAAAAAAAUGUUUGUGCAACCCGAACCAUUUUGAG
This 68-nucleotide transfer RNA is filed under the name Rhacophorus catamitus. RNAcentral describes it as "tRNA-Val". Lineage: Eukaryota; Metazoa; Chordata; Amphibia; Anura; Rhacophoridae. The record is from RNAcentral.